Caenorhabditis elegans is the source of this 95-nucleotide non-coding RNA. The record is from Ensembl. NCBI's taxonomy places the organism in Eukaryota, Metazoa, Nematoda, Chromadorea, Rhabditida, Rhabditidae.
GCCUCUGAUUGGUGUAUCUCGGGGCAGCUCACUGGCACACACACACACGCACACACACACACGCUCACGCUCAAUGUUCUACUUCUUCUACGUCG